CCUACGGGGGGCUGCAGUAGGGAAUCUUCCACAAUGGGCGAAAGUCUGAUGGAGCAACGCCGCGUGUGUGAUGAAGGGUUUCGGCUCGUAAAACACUGUUGUAAGAGAAGAAUGACAUUGAGAGUAACUGUUCAGUGUGUGACGGUAUCUUACCAGAAAGGAACGGCUAAAUACGUGCCAGCAGCCGCGGUAAUACGUAUGUUCCAAGCGUUAUCCGGAUUUCUUGGGCGUAAAGCGAGCGCAGACGGUUGUUUCGUUCCUUAGUUCCCUCCCCCACCUUCCCUGUGGAAGUGCGUUGGAAACUGGAUAACUUGAGUGCGGUAGAGGAGAGUGGAACUCGAUGUGUAGCGGUGAAAUGCGUAGAUAUAGGGAAGAACACCAGUGGCGAAGGCGGGUCUCUGGACUGUAACUGACGUUGAGGCUCGAAAGUGUGGGUAGCGACCAGGAUUAGAUACCCUAGUAGUC
This 465-nucleotide ribosomal RNA is filed under the name uncultured Weissella sp. RNAcentral's name for it is "bacterial SSU rRNA". It matches the Rfam family "Bacterial small subunit ribosomal RNA", at positions 338 to 795 of the family's 1533-position model. The record is from RNAcentral. Lineage: Bacteria; Bacillati; Bacillota; Bacilli; Lactobacillales; Lactobacillaceae.